AUGGAUCAGACCACAGCCAUGCCCAUGGUAGGCACCUCAAAAGCUGAGCUUCUGCAAGCCGAUGCGGAGCUCUUUUGCCACACCUUUGCGUACCUCAAGUCGAUGGCAUUGAACAGUGUCGUGAAGCUUGGAAUCCCCGAUGUCCUCCACCGCUGCGGUGGCGCCGCCUCCUUGCCCGAGUUGCUCUCCUCCGUCCCCCUCCAUCCAAGCAAACGCCCCUACCUGGGUCGCCUCAUGAAGAUGCUGGCUGCGGCUGGGAUCUUCACGGCUGAGGAUAUUGCUGCCGGCGGCGAUGGGGCACCAACCACGGUUUACCACCUCAACACGGUUUCUCGUCUCCUGGUGGACGACGCCGGCGCCAACCGCAGCUCAUGCAUGUCGCCGUGCGUGCUCCUGGGCACCACCAACUUAUUUGUGUCGGCCUCCUUACGGCUGCACCAGUGGCUCCUGACCGAGGAGGGAGCCACGACGGAUUCGCCGUUCAUGAUGGCGCAUGGCGGGAGCUUGUAUGGCGUCGGUAGCCGUGACCCAGAAUUCAACGCGUUGUUUAAUGGGGCAAUGGGUGCCACCAGCGAGUUCGUCGCCGCCCUUGCUGUCCAUGAAUGCAGCGAAGUGUUCGCCGGGAUAACGUCGUUGGUCGACGUUGCUGGCGGGAACGGCACCACGGCGAGGACCAUAGCCGAGGCUUUCCCACGUGUGAAGUGCUCGGUGUUGGACCUCCCACAGGUGAUACAAGGAAUCUCGCCGGAUGGCACGGUUGAGCUUGUUGCUGGUGACAUGAUGGAGUUCGUGCCACCUGCUGAUGCUGUUUUGCUUAAGUACGUGCUGCAUAACUGGAGCGAUCAGGACUGCGUGAAGAUCCUCACGCGAUGUAGACAGGCCAUUUCCCACGGAGCCAAAGCUGGCAAGGUGAUAAUCAUUGAUACCGUCGUUGGAUCACCCUCACACCAAAUACUUGAAGGCCAGGUCACCAUGGAUUUGUCCAUGAUGAUGUUAUUUAAUGGUAAAGCAAGGGAGGAGCACAACUGGCACAAGAUGUUCAUGGAAGCCGGAUUUAGUCACUACAAAAUCCACAACGUCUUGGGAAUGCGGUCCCUCAUCGAAGUCCACCCGUAG
Molecule: ribosomal RNA, 1116 nt
Filed under: Triticum aestivum (bread wheat)
Lineage: Eukaryota; Viridiplantae; Streptophyta; Magnoliopsida; Poales; Poaceae
Description: partial small subunit ribosomal RNA
Source: RNAcentral